RNAcentral lists this ribosomal RNA (492 nucleotides) under uncultured bacterium. Its description in RNAcentral is "partial 16S ribosomal RNA". It matches the Rfam family "Bacterial small subunit ribosomal RNA", at positions 29 to 507 of the family's 1533-position model. The record is from RNAcentral.
AGUGAACGCUGGCGGUAGGCCUAACACAUGCAAGUCGAACGGCAGCACAGUAAGAGUUUGCUCUUACGGGUGGCGAGUGGUGGCUGGGUGAGGAAUACAUCGGUAUCUACUUUUUCGUGGGGGUUAACGUAGGGAAACAUACGCUAAUACCGCAUACGACCUACGGGUGACAGCCGGGGUCCUUCGGACCUUGCGCGAAUGAAUGAGCCGAUGUCGGAUUAGCUAGUUGGCGGGGUAAAGGCCCACCAAGGCGACGACCCGUAGCUGGUCUGAGAGGAUGAUCAGCCACACUGGAACUGAGACACGGUCCAGACUCCUACGGGAGGCAGCAGUGGGGAAUAUUGCGCAAUGGGCGAAAGCCUGAUCCAGCCAUACCGCGUGGGUGAAGAAGGCCUUCGGGUUGUAAAGCCCUUUUGUUGGGAAAGAAAAGCAGCAGGAUAAUACCCCGCUGUUCUGACGGUACCCAAAGAAUAAGCACCGGCUAACUUCGUG